This 354-nucleotide unclassified non-coding RNA is filed under the name soil metagenome. RNAcentral's name for it is "partial contains 5.8S ribosomal RNA, internal transcribed spacer 2, and large subunit ribosomal RNA". The stretch from base 1 to 120 matches the Rfam family "5.8S ribosomal RNA", at positions 35 to 154 of the family's 154-position model. The record is from RNAcentral.
GAUGAAGAACGUAGCGAAAUGCGAUAAGUAAUGUGAAUUGCAGAAUUCCGUGAGUCAUCGAAUCUUUGAACGCACAUUGCGCCCCCUGGCAUUCCGGGGGGCAUGCCUGUCCGAGCGUCAUUUCUGCCCUCCAGCCCGGCUGGGUGUUGGGCGCUGUCCCCCCGGGGACACGCCCCAAAGGCAGUGGCGGCGCCGCGUCGGGUCCUCGAGCGUAUGGGGCUUUGUCACCCGCUCGGGACGGACUCGUCGGCGCUGGUCUUCCUCCAGGCGACCCUUCGGGGCUCGUCUUCCUUCGGUUGACCUCGGAUCAGGUAGGGUUACCCGCUGAACUUAAGCAUAUCAAUAAGCGGAGGA